CCUUUUAUGCCAAGAAAUUAACCAUCAAGCAUAAUUUGCAAUAUAUUAUCAAUCUGACAAAAGAAUCACUACAACUAUUAAAUCCUUUUUUAAAUAGGGGUUUUCAUCAGGUUUAGAAAUGAGACUGUAAACAACAAUUUUCAGUGCAUGUUCAAGGUGUGUUACAGGCCUACAUCUAUAUCAGAAUCUCAAAUUACACAUUUUCAAAGUAUACUGUGUGACACAUAUAUUGUACUACAUAGUUCUUGUUUAUUUCUUGUCACCUAUUUGUUAUAUCUAACAAUAGGAUAUUCUAGAUCAACUCCCCGCAUAGACCCGCUUCAAGGGAGGAGGAUGCAGAGGCCAGCAACAAGGAGCGGGUGUGGGUGCUCAUCCUCGCCGCUGACCACAAGUGCUGCGACAAACUUUGGGCAGAAUUCGAUCCCUCCACGGGUAUGAGCAAAUCAAAUACUGCUUACUUCUUUCUGUCUGUUGUCUGCUGAAGUAGCUAAUAGACCGCUUUAGAAUGUUGUGAGCUUGGUUAUUUUACAUUGUUUGCUAAUAUCAAGCAAAGAAUGAAUGCUGGAGUGUGUUACUGUGCUUCAUUACAAUCCCUAGAAAACUUUAGAAAGGGUGUUUCUGUCCACCCACAAAAAUCAAAAGAUAAAUCUAUGAUUGCGCGGCAGGCCUGAUAAUCCACACCAGACCAAUCAGAAAAGAGGACAAUCUGUGACUUGUUGAUUAAUUAACAAACCCGGUGUUGUUGUCCACUACCAGCCGGCUGGAGGCCCCAACUCGUUUGGCUCCGUCUACGCGGUGCCAGGAGAUUAGCACAUGGAUGCAUCCGCCGGCAGUACCAACUGCACAUCAAAGAACAACGGAUUAGUACGUUGACAGGGAUAGAAAGAAAAAUAUGAAACUCGGACACACGGAAUUUGCAGUUAUCAACAAACACUAAUUUGAAUACCUUCUAAAUCUCACAUAGUGCAGGGCUGCUCUGAAUAUCAUUGUGUUCCGUAAAUAAUGUUCCUUUCCUAGUCUACUACCGGGUGCACAAUCCAUCGACCACCAUGAUCCUCUGUCACAUUAAAGCUGUCCUACAUCAUCAGAUUAGAGUCUUUGCUCUUGUUGAUAAAUUGCGUAACACUCUGAAACACAACGAUAUUUUUUUACUCGUCAGAUUCAGAUUGGAGUCUGUUUUUUUACUCUGAAACACAAAAAGAACAUUGUCCCAUUGUCAACGGAGUAAAGAAAGAAUAGAUUAUCUUCAUGCCCCCGUAUUUAUGAAAAAUAUUUAUUCAACAAAAACAUGUCUACCUGCCCACUUCAUUGCAAACCAACUCACGUGUGCAGCAACAUUAUUUAUUAAUAAUGUAAAAUAUGUCUGCUACUCAACAAAGUUUAGAACCAAAUGGACAACUAUGAAGAAGCAUAAAUAUUUUGUAAUCCUUUUUAGCUUCCCUUACAUGUUGUAGGCAGCAUACGAUACUUAUCUGAAAUACCUAAAGGCACAAGAAAAGCUAGUGUAGAAUGAAGAAACUUUAAUCUAACCUCGCUCAAUCUGGUGUAUUUCCUUGAGCACCCAUGCGAGUGUCUUAGCUCUUCUUCAUACGCAUGGGGCACGAGCAUGUUCUCCAGGGAGGACAGUAGCUCUCACCCACGACCUCCUCGAUGUCGUUGGCGAAGUAGCAGAGGGUGACGGUGUGGAAUUGCUUGGUCGCUUGUGUGGGUGACCUCAAGGCGUUGCUGGUGGGAGGUCACAGACAAGCGCGUGCUGUCGGUGAAGAUGGAUCUAGAGAACAAGAAUUCAACCUACAAUUAAAAACUGCACAUACAUACUAUGUAUGCCCUCCAUAUGUCUCAAUUCAGAUUACACAUGUCUUACCUGCAUCUCAAUACUCCACAUAAUGUUGGUCACUCAGAUUGUCCUCCUCGUCUUCUACAAUUUUGCUGUUCGUGUACGCUACCCUAACCCCUGGUCAAAAAGCAAUUAUCGAUUAGUGCAAAGGGAUAACAUAGAGAGGGCAGAAAAAUGACCGGUGCAACUCCCAGCCACAUCUCUCACAAAUUCAUCUCCAUUGCCGACCAAAUACGAGUGCAAAAUCGCCUGCUCCCUAGCCUCUCAACCAUGUCAGGUGUAAAUAGAACAGCCGCCAGUCGUCGCCUCCGCCCAUCGACCACACAUCAUGCAGAGAACAAGACGUACAAUGCUGAGAGAACAACACGUACAAUAUUGAGAGAACUAUGGCAUGAUUCGGAGAAAAACCGUCACGUUCCUCGUGCACCGUCAGCACACACCAAGCAUGAUUCAAAAGUGGUGGAUCCAAAAUUUGCAAACUUACUGGGAGAAGUGCUAAUGAAAGGUACCAGGCAGGUUAGCUAGGGCGAGUCUUCUGGAGGGGAUACGUCCCAUUCAGGCUGACCCCCCUUUGCUUUGGUCUACUGUUGUUAAUUCUCUGCUGAAUAAAUACCAACGUCGGCAAUGGAUGUACAAAUUUUGUGGAGUCACCAUGGCGAUGCAAGAUCUGAAGAAAAUAUAGUGGGGUCUGACCUUGCUGCUGCUGACUAACGUAGAUUGAGAAGGCAAUGGCUGCGGGCUUCGAGUACGACGUCAGGGAGGAUGAUGCCUAGGUCGUUGAAUGUAUCCCCAACCAUGGAUCUCCUCUUCCUCCUUUUGAUCGCCUCCCGAUCUCACAAGCACCCUUGCCCGGGAUACACGGACGUCGUACACGCGGGAAGAUGGAUAGAGCCACACACCCCUACCUUGACCAAUCACUGAUGUGGAGGGGGUCAACGAUGGCCGGAUCUGGAACGUCGGCGGGUGGUGAGGCCACGGCCGUCGUGGCGCCGAUUGAUAUCCAUGGCAAGGCGUCUUCGCAAGGGAGGCGGUGGCGUGUGGAGAAGGAUCGGCAAGGCUCCUGAAGGGGAUCGUCUUCGGAUCCUCGACAUGAUGGGCAGCAGGUCCUCAACGGGAUCGACGGUGCUCCUGAAGUGGAUCGUGGGCGGCGGCUUCGAUGUGCGAGGGCGGCGGCGAAGGGAUGGAGCGGCGGCGGCUUUGAUGUGCGAGGUCGGCGGCGAAGGGAUGGAGCGGCGGCGGCGAAGGGAUGGAGCGGCGGUGGCGAAGGAUGGAGGGCGGCGGCGCACGAUUUGCUGAGCGAGUCGUGCGUGCGAGUGGUUCUCGCUCGAGGGCAGGCGGCCUUGCUCGUACGUGCGUGCGAUUGUUUUGGUUUUUUUUUCGCUGGUUAAUUUUCGCCGGUUUGUGCUCGGUGGUUUAUUUUCGAUCGUCUCAGGUAAUUACGACGGGAGGUUGUGCGGGUGCGGGACUCCAUCUUAGGGUUUUUUUUGGUUUUCCGCGGUUGGGAGGGAGGUGGGAAGUAGUACCAAAGAAGUACCAAAAUAGACCGGGUUAGGUGGGACGAAAAUAAAACCCGGAACGCGACCUACCAACUGAGACAUUAGGAGUAGAGAUACGGUCCGGCUGUGACUACAUCGUCGUCCAGUUCCACCUGUCUCUCUCCACUACGUGCUACGACUAGAUUUACAAUUUCAUCACACCUCCACAAAACCAACGUGCUACGUGCGGUAAUGGAUCUACUGGCCAAUUUUGGUGGUGUUGAUCACGCGGUGGACUACAUUUAUUCAUCACGCUUUCCUCUAACGAAGAACAACUAGAGUAAGUUCGUCGUAUAAUUCCACUGCCCUCUACAUCAAUUGUUUCGGUUCGAUUAUUAUUGCAAAAUCAUUUGUUUUUCGAUUGCGCUACUUAAUUACUAUAUGAUUUAUGAAAUAGGCUAUAACAAAGGUUUGUAUAAUUUUUCCGUUACUAUAUAAAGUAUUAAAUAUCAUAAUUAAUUACAACGGAAUAAUGUUUUAUAAUCAUGGCGAAUGAUUUAGCUAAAAAUCAUGCACUACAAAAGAUAGUUUAACUGCUUACAAACAGUUUGCAAUACUAUUCAAUUUAGCCCAAAAAUUAGAAGGCCGCUUAAUGACUAUAAAAGUUUGCACAAAUAAUGUAUAUUUUGCCAAAACAGUUUGAAAGCCUAUUCUUUUUAGCCCAAAUCAGUCUUUAGCUCAAAUCAGUUUAGCACGGGCAAUUUUUUUUUAGUAUUAUCGUUAUAUGUAUGGAGAUGCUUUAGUAUGAAAUCAAUGUGAAUCGUGAAGUUCUAUGCUAUUGCAUUAUAUUAAAAUACAGUACAUAUUACAAUUUAUUUUUGGUCAUAUUUUGUGAGAUAUGCAGUUGUGAAAAUAUCCAUAUAUUACACACCGAGAUAGUUGACCCCUUUGAUUUAUUUUUUAAAUUAAAGCCAAGUUGGUUCUGAACCUUGUUAUGCAUUUUUACAGCACAAUAUGGAUAAAGAGUUCUCGUUCAUUCCCUAUCGAGAUUAGCCUACGGAUUAUCCGAGACACCAUCAGAGAAGAUGGAGUUGUCCAUCCUUUAUGCUUCAAUCUUACAGUUCGUAAGAUUAGCAGUGACGCAUCAGAGAGGAGCGCAGGCACCAACUCUAUUGGAAGGACACACUAUUUUAAUCUGCAAUUUCAUAAGCAAGCAUGGGCACUAAGGCAGACCUGGUUAACCCAAGAAUAGGGCACCCAGACUCUUAUUGAGACCGUCGUGCUAGAGCCUUUUCCUAAAUACUACGUGUUCCACGCCCCUACAAUUGUAAGUGUUCUCGUUCAUACAAAUUAGUUUGGUUACUAGCUACAUCAUUUAUUUAUGUCUACCAAAUGCAGUACCUUCUCCCACUGGCACCCGUGGAUUCAUCCUACGGGCUAUUUGCAGUGAAAAUGGAUAUGGACAGGACUGUCAUUAUUGACUAUUCAAACCAGGCAUUAUUUGAUUUUGAGGAGGAGUUUCAUGACAUAGAACUUCAGAGAGAAGCUCUAUUAGUUAAGCAAGAAUUCAAUGUUAUUCUCCAACAAGGGGCCCCUGAUAGGAACAACCAGAUUUUGGAAUGGCCUGAACAAGUUAACAUUCAUGUCUCACAUCGGCGGUAAUAUUUUAAAUUGUCAUGAACUUUUGUUAUUUUACUGAUAUUAGCUAUUAAUACGUGAUGUUUUUCCAACAGCAUGGACUCUGGAUUUAAAGUUUUACAGGAGAUGGCCAACCUGUACGGAACUAUGGGGUAUGACAUCACUACUAGAAAUCCCCAUAUUUCCGAUGGUGAAAUCUAAUAGCCGACGGACUGUCGGGUAUUACAGUAAUAGCUGACGGUAGUUAUAAUGGCCGAUGGUUACUGUCAACUCACGAGUAUUACCACUAAUACCCGACGGUAUACUAGAAUGCCUGACGGUGAAAAUUCACCCCUCGGAUAUCCAACUUAAUGCCCGACGGUUCAUCGUAAAACCCGACGGUUUUUCCUACACCCACAGGGAUUACAUGUAAUGCCCGACGGGUUUCCCUACACCCACGGGGAUUACAUGUAAUGCCCGACGGGUUUCCCUACACCCACGGGGAUUACAUGUAAUGCCCGACGGGUUUCCCUACACCCACGGGGAUUACAUGUAAUGCCCGACUGUUAAUUGUAAUGCCCGACGGUUUUUGGUACACCCUCGGGGAUUACAUGUAAUGCCCGACGGUUUCUGCCACACCCACGGGGAUUACAUGUAAUGCCCGACGGUGAAAUUUAAUAGCCGAAGGUGAAAACAAAACUCUGACCUAUGAGAGGACAUGGCUGGUGGUAGAUAUGUGCCUCUUGGUUAUUUGAGAAAAUACCCGAUGGUGUAUAGUGAUAACCGGCGUUUGACUUUCCCUCUCCAUGAUAUGUUUCAAUGGACAACAUAUGUAGAACGGCCGAUAUUAUAUUCCAGAUAAUUCAGAAGAUUCCAAGAACUAACAUCUAGGAUACCCGAGUGCAUUAUGUUCUUUUUCACAAUUAAUAUAUAGGAUGCUUAAAAAUUGGUACAAGAUAAUACAAAUAUGAUGUUUAAAAAAAUUGCACUUACAAAAGUACUAGUUUGCUAAUUUCUUGGUCAUGUACUUCUGUAACUUGCCUUGAACGUAUCUUUGGUUUUUCUAAUAAAUGCAACUUUGUCUAGAAGGACCCCGACCUUCAUGUAUAUUAUUAAUUAACUGUAAAUGUGUCGUGAAGUAUUAUUAACAUCUUGAAUUAUAACGAGGAUGAGUGUUGUAUUUUAAAAUUAAGAAAGUGAAAUGCUAUGCAUACGAUCCUAUACAUACAUAUGAUCCUUUUUGUCCGAAGCAGUGUGACCAUUCUUUUUCCUCCCAACCAAGAAAGUAAAAGGGAGGCAUCACCCUUUCUACAAAGAGUCUGCCACAUGGAGCGAGGCAUUACCGUUUCAAAGUGCUGCCGUCCCCUGCAUCGGUGAGGCUAUGUUCGUACAAUAUGAACCCUUUCGUAUUUUUCAUCACCAUUUUAGGUCCUUAGUAAACACGUAUGGCUGGUCAUGAAGUACUAGUACUAUCGUGACAUACAAGCCCGAGUUCUGUAUUUCAAAACUAAAAAAAGAUUCAUUAUAUAUAUACAUAUGAUUCUUUACGUACAAUCCUUAUCAGACACCACAAACACAACAAAUCAACCAUUAAGCGGUGGUCAUUCUUUUUUCCUCGGGAAUAAAAAGGGCGAUCUCGCCAGCGUCUCUCCGAAGGAGAGUUCCUUUGAUCGUCGCCGUCCUACGGCGGCUCCCCUCCUCCGACGACCUCGAUCGUUGGUGCUAGGGGGGGUUGCCGGAUCCAUGUGUGUGUGUGUGUGUGGAUAGUUUUAGGCUAAAGCAGCUUUGUUUUUAGGUUGCUCAUCGUCUUCAGAUCCUUCCCCGACAAGUCGAUCGGCCCUAUGGUUGGGGGUGGUUUCGAAAACCAGCCUUUUCAAGCAAGGAUUGUGUGGCGGCGGCAUCCUCGUGGUGGACAUGUGUCCUCGGGCCGGCGUCUGCCCCAACAUCGGUGCGGAGCUUGGGAGGUACGUAGUUCAGGAGCGGAUGUAGAUUGUGGACGACAUCUGGAAGACGGAAUAUGUGAUGGGUUCGUGGUUGAUGGAUGGAAAGUGUGGUUUCCUCCUUCGACGUCUUAGUUGUGGUGGGGUGCCAGACCUUGAGUUCGAUAGGGUGUCCGGGGGUGUUGCUCAGAUCUGAUUCCUUCAACGACAAUGACUUCAGUUUUGGUGAGCCACCUUGGAGGCCCACAAAGCUGCAUAUCAGCGAUGGAGCCGCGUCGAGUUUGGGUGAGGAGGUCAUCCGUCGUUCUUCUUUUCGGUGGCUGUUGUGGUCGUGCUGGGGCAGGUGACGGAGCGUUGGUGUCUAGCUCAGAGAUGUUUUGCUAUCUUUUCAGUUUUGUCAUGCCGGUCCUUACGUGGCUUGUAUUUUAAUCUUUAUGAUAUGAAUGAGACACGUAUUACCAUGCAAAAGAAAAAAACCGAUGCGCGUUGGAACCAAAUACAACACACCAAUGGAUCAUCCAAGGUAUUAUGGCCAUUUUUCGCAAAAAUAACGUAUUAUGAUCAUACCAAGAAUCCUGUAUGUGCCAUGUCAAAAAAAGGGAUCGUGUAUGUGCAAAACGAACUGUGAGAAAUCUAAGAAUAAAAAUAGGAUUUAAAAAACAAAUGGCCCAAAAAAUAAAAGUUAAAAGUUAUUGUACUCCUAUAUGAUUUCAUACGUACUAAUAAUUAAUUAAUAACGCGUGUGCAAAAAAUUAAGUGCACCGCAUGGUUCGAACCCAAGACCAAACAAGCUAGCCUAGCGUGCUAUACCAGGUGGAGAACAGACAAGUUGUGACAUAUACCUCCUCAGAUGUUAUCUAUACUAGACAUUCUCAAAGCGCCGUUAACCAGCCCCGCCGCUUAUAUCCCCUCAGUCCUGCGGCUCACAUUCACCUCUCUCUCAACGCCGGUCGCCGCCUAGAUGUGUCACCUGACUUGCCACCGUCCUCCACUCUCGUCUCAGAUUUGACCCCAAAGUCAAGCUGUAGGCAGCAACAGCAGGUUCCCGUGUCGCCAUGAGCUAGAUGGGGAAGCGGGGGUUGGGUGGGGAGAGCCCGCAGUGGCAGAAAAGACGAACGAGGGCUGGCGGCCCCGGAGCUACCUCCACUACCUCGCCGCCGCGUCCGGUCCGACCCUGCCUCCUGCAAGCACGGCGACUUCCUUGACACCGUCUGGGCGGGCCAUGAGCUAACCACGCCCAAUCUCUUCAGGUCAGCACAGUACAGUAGGCAAUUUGGGAUUUUUUUAAUUGAAAUUGAGGAAAUUUUGACACAAUUGAGUGUGGAGACUGAGUUGUUUGGUUAAUUAGUUAAUCAGCACGUACACCAGAGACAAUUUGUUGCAACAUUGACACGAUUAUGUGAUGUAGAGAUAAUGAGAUAUGCUCAUGUUUUACUGCUACUCGAACCCUGAUAUGUACCGUGGUUUUCAUGGGAUAAUAUAAUUGAGUCCGUUUAAUCCGUUGAGUAGGCCUCGUGGUUAUCUAUUUUUUUCAUGUUUCUCACAUAGUGGUUGGUGCCCACCUCGCAGCCGUGGACUCCUAUUACCGAAUUAUUUGAUGAUCUGGCGCUGAUUUCUUGGCGCGGCCAGCAAAAAAUUCUCCCACGCCGGCGCACCACGCACCAAAUCAGGUCCUGAACUAACCGCCAUAGUCUCCAAAUCUCGUAUCGUAUAACUUCAGCCAUACACGCACUGUUAUACGAUACGAUGUAUACUUUCAAGCCAGCAAUCGAAUGGUCAUAAGGCACGUACCUUCAAUUGUCACCAAUCUUCAAGUUCACACAGGAUCCACAUUUCUUUGUCAUGCUCAAGAUGUUUCUGAUAAAGCAUUGAUUAUCUUGUAUGUGUUC
RNAcentral lists this long non-coding RNA (8758 nucleotides) under Triticum aestivum (bread wheat). RNAcentral's name for it is "long non-coding RNA (TAES_LNC027918)". Lineage: Eukaryota; Viridiplantae; Streptophyta; Magnoliopsida; Poales; Poaceae. The record is from RNAcentral.